AUUGAACGCUGGCGGCAGGCCUAACACAUGCAAGUCGAGCGGUAGAGAGGUGCUUGCAUCUCUUGAGAGCGGCGGACGGGUGAGUAAUGCCUAGGAAUCUGCCUGGUGGUGGGGGAUAACGUUCGGAAACGGACGCUAAUACCGCAUACGUCCUACGGGAGAAAGCGGGGGAUCUUCGGACCUCGCGCCAUUAGAUGAGCCUAGGUCGGAUUAGCUAGUUGGUGAGGUAAUGGCUCACCAAGGCGACGAUCCGUAACUGGUCUGAGAGGAUGAUCAGUCACACUGGAACUGAGACACGGUCCAGACUCCUACGGGAGGCAGCAGUGGGGAAUAUUGGACAAUGGGCGAAAGCCUGAUCCAGCCAUGCCGCGUGUGUGAAGAAGGUCUUCGGAUUGUAAAGCACUUUAAGUUGGGUAGGAAGGGUAGUAACCUAAUACGUUGCUACUUUGACGUUACCGACAGAAUAAGACACCGGCUAACUUCGUGCCAGCAGCCG
This 496-nucleotide ribosomal RNA is filed under the name uncultured bacterium. RNAcentral's name for it is "bacterial SSU rRNA". It matches the Rfam family "Bacterial small subunit ribosomal RNA", at positions 30 to 517 of the family's 1533-position model. The record is from RNAcentral.